This 798-nucleotide ribosomal RNA is filed under the name uncultured Proteiniphilum sp. RNAcentral's name for it is "bacterial SSU rRNA". It matches the Rfam family "Bacterial small subunit ribosomal RNA", at positions 8 to 795 of the family's 1533-position model. The record is from RNAcentral. Lineage: Bacteria; Pseudomonadati; Bacteroidota; Bacteroidia; Bacteroidales; Dysgonomonadaceae.
AGAGUUUGAUCAUGGCUCAGGAUGAACGCUAGCGAUAGGCCUAACACAUGCAAGUCGAGGGGCAGCACAUGAAGUAGCAAUACGGAUGGUGGCGACCGGCGCACGGGUGAGUAACGCGUAUGCAACCUGCCUACAACAGGGGAAUAACCCGUUGAAAGACGGACUAGUACCCCAUAACACAGGGAUCCCGCAUGGGAAUAUUUGUUAAAGAUUUAUCGGUUGUAGAUGGGCAUGCGUUCCAUUAGCUGGUUGGUGAGGUAACGGCUCACCAAGGCAACGAUGGAUAGGGGAACUGAGAGGUUUAUCCCCCACACUGGUACUGAGACACGGACCAGACUCCUACGGGAGGCAGCAGUGAGGAAUAUUGGUCAAUGGACGCAAGUCUGAACCAGCCACGUCGCGUGAAGGAAGACGGCCCUACGGGUUGUAAACUUCUUUUGUAAGGGAAUAAAGUGCAGUACGUGUACUGUUUUGCAUGUACCUUACGAAUAAGGAUCGGCUAACUCCGUGCCAGCAGCCGCGGUAAUACGGAGGAUCCGAGCGUUAUCCGGAUUUAUUGGGUUUAAAGGGUGCGCAGGCGGGAGAUUAAGUCGGCGGUGAAAUUUUGCAGCUCAACUGUAAAAGUGCCUUCGAAACUGGUUUCCUUGAGUGUGGAUGAAGUAGGCGGAAUUUGUGGUGUAGCGGUGAAAUGCAUAGAUAUCACGAGGAACUCCGAUUGCGCAGGCAGCUUACUAAACCAUAACUGACGCUCAGGCACGAAGGCGUGGGGAUCAAACAGGAUUAGAUACCCUGGUAGUC